CGAUAUUUAGCGAAAUAUUCGAUCGAAUUCAAAACAUAUACUUUUAAUACGAAUAGAUGGCCAUUGAAAAUCGGUGCAAAAUCUUUAUUUCUAUUUUUAAAGUUCGAACUAAAUCGAACAAAUUCGAAUUGUCCACAGCCAUCAAUUUCCAUCGACCCGUGCUGUAAAACUAAUAUCUUUAAAAUGUUUCUAUAGCGCAACACGAAAGCCUUUAAAGUCCUCAAUUGUCGUCGCGUCGUGCACGUGCUCCGCGAUAAAAGUAUGCCGAGAAGAAGUUUAUCGAUAAGUCGAAAAGUUGUUCCGCAGCCCGGGGGGGAAAGGUAACGAUUACGCCCUCGCCCCGCCAAGAAGCGUAAUUAGAGAGUCGUUUAAAGGGCAAUUUGCAGGGGAGGGAUCGUUGGACGAGGGUGAAAUUUGGAAAAAUCUUUGAAAGCAUUGUGCAGCGUUGAUUUUCGUUGGCGUGAUACACUUCGACGAGAUGAAAAUGAAAAUUGGAAUGUAUUUACGAUUGAUCUUUUCCCGUCGAGUUACUACUUCCGGUUUUUUUCCACGACGAGAAGGUAUAUCGGAAUUACGAGUGCCAUUAAGGGUUGUAGGGACGGGGGUCGGGAAAACGACUAUGCGGGGAACCUCUUUACGAGCAAUGUCCCCUGCUGACAGAAGAGAAUCGAGUUUAAGCGCUUUCACAGGUCGCAUCGAGAAGCCUUUUACCAUGGCCUGGUCCCCAUGGAGG
Apis mellifera (honey bee) is the source of this 733-nucleotide long non-coding RNA. RefSeq lists it as uncharacterized. The transcript is spliced from 2 exons. The record is from RefSeq and is a predicted model, not a curated record. NCBI's taxonomy places the organism in Eukaryota, Metazoa, Arthropoda, Insecta, Hymenoptera, Apidae.